GGACGUGAGGGCGAUGUGGCUGCGACAUCUGCCACCCCAUUGAUCGCCAGGGCGGCUUGGGCUGAUCCUGCUGGCUAGGCGGGUGUCCCCUUCCUCCCUCACUGCUCCAUGUGCAUCCCUCCCAAAGCUGUGCCCUGGGUCCAAGAGAACACCACCCCCGAUAGAGGAGGAGGAAAGGGUAUACGAGUAGCUGCGCGCCCCUGCUAGAACCACUGAACAAGGUCUCAAAUUUUAAAAAAAUAAAAUAAAAGGUAGUUUAAUCCAGAAGGUCUGGCCCAUGGCUACU
This 286-nucleotide small nuclear RNA is filed under the name Heterocephalus glaber (naked mole-rat). RNAcentral describes it as "7SK RNA". It matches the Rfam family "7SK RNA". Rfam says of the family: 7SK was discovered as an abundant small nuclear RNA in the mid-70s but a possible function has only recently been suggested. Lineage: Eukaryota; Metazoa; Chordata; Mammalia; Rodentia; Bathyergidae. The record is from Rfam by way of RNAcentral.